CGAUCUCUUCGGAGUUGAGGGUAGUGGUGGAGCCGAUGAACCAGACUUGUAGUAGGUAAGCGAUGGGGUGACGCAGGAAGGUAGUCCAGCCCGGGCGGUGGUUGUCCCGGGGUAAGGGUGUAGGACGUUGUGUAGGCAAAUCCGCGCAACAUGUGUCUGAGACCUGAUGCCGAGCCGAUUGUGGUGAAGUGGAUGAUCCUAUGCUGUCGAGAAAAGCCUCUAGCGAGUUUCAUGGCGGCCCGUACCCUAAACCGACUCAGGUGGUCAGGUAGAGAAUACCGAGGCGUUCGGGUGAACUAUGGUUAAGGAACUCGGCAAAAUGCCCCCGUAACUUCGGGAGAAGGGGGGCCAUCACUGGUGAUAGCACUUGCUGCUUGAGCUGGGGGUGGCCGCAGAGACCAGCGAGAAGCGACUGUUUACUAAAAACACAGGUCCGUGCGAAGCCGUAAGGCGAUGUAUACGGACUGACGCCUGCCCGGUGCUGGAACGUUAAGGGGACCGG
RNAcentral lists this ribosomal RNA (502 nucleotides) under Streptomyces parvus. RNAcentral describes it as "partial 23S ribosomal RNA". It matches the Rfam family "Bacterial large subunit ribosomal RNA", at positions 1400 to 1889 of the family's 2925-position model. The record is from RNAcentral. Lineage: Bacteria; Bacillati; Actinomycetota; Actinomycetes; Kitasatosporales; Streptomycetaceae.